UGGUGGAGUGAUUUGUCUGGUUAAUUCCGUUAACGAACGAGACCUCGACCUGCUAAAUAGUCCGGCGAACCCUCUUGGGCUCGACUCCGGCACUUCUUAGAGGGACUAUUGGUUUUGAUCCAAUGGAGGUUCGAGGCAAUAACA
Molecule: ribosomal RNA, 144 nt
Filed under: uncultured eukaryote
Lineage: Eukaryota
Description: partial 18S ribosomal RNA
Rfam family: Eukaryotic small subunit ribosomal RNA
Source: RNAcentral